UUUUUGAUUUAAAACACUAUGGCUAACUUUGCAUUAACUAAUCCAAACUAUAAAAAUAAAGCACGCCGUAAUAUUCUUAAUUCGUCGUCCUGAACAUCCAUGACAUAUUUGCCACUGGACGUAAAGCAACCAUUAAUCAAUCAAUCAAUCAAUCAUAUAUACUUAUCCAACGUUCAAGAUAUAUCAUAUAAGAUAUCUUAUAAACUUUAUAAGAUAUCUUAUAUAACAAACAUCUGUAAAUCUAAGUUAUCACCAUCUUCGCUAGCCAAGGGUUACGAUCGACUUCCCUCCUCUUCACAUGGAGAGGAGGGAAGUGGAUAGUAACCCUU
Molecule: long non-coding RNA, 329 nt
Filed under: Mytilus galloprovincialis (Mediterranean mussel)
Lineage: Eukaryota; Metazoa; Mollusca; Bivalvia; Mytilida; Mytilidae
Source: RNAcentral